GUAGAGUAGUUUCGAUCCGUGCACGAGGACACGCUGGCGGCGUGCUUAACACAUGCAAGUCGAACGCUGAAGCUCCUAGCUUGCUGGGGGUGGAUGAGUGGCGAACGGGUGAGUAACACGUGAGUAACCUGCCUUUCACUCUGGGAUAAGCGCUGGAAACGGUGUCUAAUACUGGAUAUGAGCACUGGUCGCAUGGCCUGGUGUUGGAAAGAUUUAUCGGUGAUUGAUGGACUCACGGCCUAUCAGCUUGUUGGUGGGGUAAUGGCCUACCAAGGCGACGACGGGUAGCCGGCCUGAGAGGGUGACCGGCCACACUGGGACUGAGACACGGCCCAGACUCCUACGGGAGGCAGCAGUGGGGAAUAUUGCACAAUGGGCGCAAGCCUGAUGCAGCAACGCCGCGUGAGGGAUGACGGCCUUCGGGUUGUAAACCUCUUUUGUCAGGGAAGAAGCCUUUGGGUGACGGUACCUGGAGAAAAAGCACCGGCUAACUACGUG
Molecule: ribosomal RNA, 498 nt
Filed under: uncultured Microbacteriaceae bacterium
Lineage: Bacteria; Bacillati; Actinomycetota; Actinomycetes; Micrococcales; Microbacteriaceae
Description: bacterial SSU rRNA
Rfam family: Bacterial small subunit ribosomal RNA
Source: RNAcentral